CACAUCUCUUCCUAACUAUCAAUCAGAGUUCAGAAUGAAAGACAAAUGGACAUCCAUUUGAACCUUAGUGUGAAACAAGUGAUGUUGGAGUGAAUGGAAACAGCCUGGCAACAUCCUGCAGCUUUUACCAUAGUUCCAACUAAGUCAAGACUACCCGAUGAUGCCAUCCAUAUCCAAGCUGGUCUUCCUAUGUAAUUAAUCAUCUCUAAAACAAUCCCAUGCAACCAGAAGAGGAAUGUAUUAAUCUUUCACGCAUGUCUCAAUUCAGUCAAGUGGACAAUGAAAAUUAACCAUCACAAUAAUGAAGAUACUAAAUUCAAAACUAAAUGUUCAAAUCCUA
Peromyscus maniculatus bairdii (prairie deer mouse) is the source of this 340-nucleotide non-coding RNA. The record is from RefSeq and is a predicted model, not a curated record. NCBI's taxonomy places the organism in Eukaryota, Metazoa, Chordata, Mammalia, Rodentia, Cricetidae.